This 76-nucleotide microRNA precursor is filed under the name Myotis davidii. Its description in RNAcentral is "mir-9229 microRNA precursor family". It matches the Rfam family "mir-9229 microRNA precursor family". Lineage: Eukaryota; Metazoa; Chordata; Mammalia; Chiroptera; Vespertilionidae. The record is from Rfam by way of RNAcentral.
GAGACACCCCUCCAGGGCAAGACUUGCUUCAGUGGGGCUUUGGUGCUCACUGAGUCAGCCCCCUGAGUGUGUCCCU